ACGGUCUCUUCGGAGAUAGUGGCGGACGGGUGAGUAACGCGUGAGAACAUGCCUUUAGAUUGGGGACAACAGUUGGAAACGACUGCUAAUACCGAAUGUGCCUUAGGGUGAAAGAUUUAUUGUCUAGAGAUUGGCUCGCGUCAGAUUAGCUAGUUGGAGUGGUAACGGCACACCAAGGCGACGAUCUGUACUUGGUCUGAGAGGAUGACCAGGCACACUGGAACUGAGACACGGUCCAGACUCCUACGGGAGGCAGCAGUGGGGAAUUUUCCGCAAUGGGCGAAAGCCUGACGGAGCAAUACCGCGUGAGGGAGGACGGCUUUUGGGUUGUAAACCUCUUUUAUCAGGGAAGAAUCGAUGACGGUACCUGAUGAAUCAGCAUCGGCUAACUCCGUGCCAGCAGCCGCGGUAAUACGGAGGAUGCAAGCGUUAUCCGGAAUUAUUGGGCGUAAAGCGUCCGUAGGUGGUUUAUCAAGUCUGCUGUCAAAGCGUGCGGCUUAACCGCAUAAGGGCAGUGGAAACUGAUGAACUAGAGUGCGAUAGGGGUAACAGGAAUUCCCAGUGUAGCGGUGAAAUGCGUAGAUAUUGGGAAGAACACCAGCGGCGAAAGCGUGUUACUGGGUCUGCACUGACACUGAGGGACGAAAGCUAGGGGAGCGAAAGGGAUUAGAUACCCCUGUAGUCCUAGCCGUAAACGAUGACAACUAGGCGUGGUUCGUAUCGACCCGAGCCGUGCCGUAGCCAACGCGUUAAGUUGUCCGCCUGGGGAGUACGCACGCAAGUGUGAAACUCAAAGGAAUUGACGGGGGCCCGCACAAGCGGUGGAGUAUGUGGUUUAAUUCGAUGCAACGCGAAGAACCUUACCAAGGCUUGACAUCCUCGGAACCCUGAUGAAAGUUAGGGGUGCCUUCGGGAGCCGAGAGACAGGUGGUGCAUGGCUGUCGUCAGCUCGUGUCGUGAGAUGUUGGGUUAAGUCCCGCAACGAGCGCAACCCACGUUUUUAGUUGCCAGCAUUCAGUUGGGCACUCUAGAGAGACUGCCGGUGACAAACCGGAGGAAGGUGUGGAUGACGUCAAGUCAGCAUGCCCCAUACGCCUUGGGCUACACACGUACUACAAUGCGUCGGACAAAGAGCAGCCAGCCAGCGAUGGUGAGCCAAUCUCAUAAACCGACGCUCAGUUCAGAUUGCAGGCUGCAACUCGCCUGCAUGAAGGCGGAAUCGCUAGUAAUCGCAGGUCAGCAUACUGCGGUGAAUACGUUCCCGGGCCUUGUACACACCGCCCGUCACACCAUGGGAGUUGGUCACGCCCGAAGUCGUUACUCUAACUGCUUGCAGAGGAGGACGCCGAAGGUGGGGCUGAUGACUGGGGUGAAGUCGUAACAAG
This 1385-nucleotide ribosomal RNA is filed under the name Leptolyngbya sp. YACCYB525. RNAcentral describes it as "bacterial SSU rRNA". It matches the Rfam family "Bacterial small subunit ribosomal RNA". Lineage: Bacteria; Bacillati; Cyanobacteriota; Cyanophyceae; Leptolyngbyales; Leptolyngbyaceae. The record is from RNAcentral.